GAUGAACGCUGGCGGCGUGCCUAAUACAUGCAAGUCGAGCGAAGCGGGGACGGGUGAGUAACACGUGGAUAACCUCCUAUAAGACUGGGAUAACUUCGGGAAACCGGAGCUAAACCGGAUACUUAUCGAUGCAUCCGCGCUGCAUUAGCUAGUUGGUAAGGUCACGUCUUACCAAGGCAACGAUGCAUAGCCGACCUGAGAGGGUGAUCGGCCAACCUGGAAAUGGUACACGGGCCACACUCCUACGGGAGGCAGCAGUAGGGAAUCGUCCGCAAUGGGCGAAAGCCUGACGGAGCAACGCGGCGUGAGUGAUGAAGGUCUGCGGAUCGUAAAACGCUGUUAUUAGGGAAGCGGUACCUAAUCAGAAAGCCACGGCUAACUACGUGCCAGCAGCCGCGGUAAUAC
Molecule: ribosomal RNA, 405 nt
Filed under: uncultured bacterium
Lineage: Bacteria
Description: partial 16S ribosomal RNA
Rfam family: Bacterial small subunit ribosomal RNA
Source: RNAcentral